AGCCACAGCUCUGGCUUGUGUUUCCUCCAGCUGCCUGCAGCCCAGACUGACCCUCCUCAUCCAGCUUUUCCCCCUUAUCCAGCUCCCAUUCCCACACAAUUCCCCCUCUUACCUGGGGCAGCCAGGGAGACCAGGAGGAAGGCAGCAAGGACAAGACCUGCUAUCAGCCCCCGAUUCAAAGGGAAACCGUGGAGUGUGACAGGAGCGGCCGGGGAGCAGAUGGAACAGAUGUCCUGGGGCAGAGGGACCUCGCAGGGAAAAAGAUCAGUAUCACGGCCUUCCCAACCUUUGGCAGGGAUGCUGCAGGACUGGGAUGUGGCCAGGAUGCACUGACAGCUCUGCCUCUGUUGUCUAGAGCUGUCCCCACAUGGGCUGGACACGCUGAGAGGACCCGGUGUCUGUGUGUCACCCUCUUGGGAACCAUGACUGCAAACCCCUCUGAAGACAGGCCUGACUUCCAAUGGGACUGGUACCUGGUCAUCCUGCUUGGAGUGGAAGAGAUUUACUCUUGUGGAUGUCAGCAGGGCGU
This is a long non-coding RNA of Vidua macroura (Pin-tailed whydah), 529 nucleotides long. RefSeq lists it as uncharacterized. The record is from RefSeq and is a predicted model, not a curated record. The transcript is spliced from 3 exons. Lineage: Eukaryota; Metazoa; Chordata; Aves; Passeriformes; Viduidae.